RNAcentral lists this ribosomal RNA (450 nucleotides) under Triticum aestivum (bread wheat). RNAcentral describes it as "partial small subunit ribosomal RNA". The record is from RNAcentral. Lineage: Eukaryota; Viridiplantae; Streptophyta; Magnoliopsida; Poales; Poaceae.
AUGGCCUUUUCUAUUUUGUUUCCAACCAAAUCAAAUCACCGGCACAGCACAGAUCAACCAAGAAUCUACAGGCACCCGGGCAGCAUAAUUAGCUUGCCAUGGACACAUAUGGGAAGCAACAGGCACCUACCACCGGAUGCCGUGCCCUGCACUGCCUCCCAAAACAACAUCGAUGGUUCUUCAGAAUACAGCAGUCGUUUCUUCAGAAUACAGCGGUCUUUCUUCAAAACAACAUCGAUGGUUAUCUUGUCGAUCCAAACAAAACUUUCCGCGGCUAGCCGGCGAUGGACACCUUCCGGGACUGCCGCUGCCCACGGUGGGACUGGGACUCCGUCUCCGCCGAGAAGCGCUGCAGUCUCCGCGCGGCCUGCCUGCCGCAGACGGCGUCGAGGUGCAUCUGCUCGUGGCGGCACUCCUCGCUGCAGAAGGGCGUGUCCCCUCUGUACAUGA